Molecule: non-coding RNA, 45 nt
Organism: Schistosoma rodhaini
Lineage: Eukaryota; Metazoa; Platyhelminthes; Trematoda; Strigeidida; Schistosomatidae
Source: Rfam
AUCCAGACGACGAGUCACAAAUAGGAUGAAACACGCGUCCUGGAU